AUUGAACGCUGGCGGCAGGCCUAACACAUGCAAGUCGAGCGGAUGAAGGGAGCUUGCUCCUGGAUUCAGCGGCGGACGGGUGAGUAAUUCCUAGGAAUCUGCCUUGUAGUUGGGGAUAACGUCCGGAAACGGGCGCUAAUACCGCAUACGUCCUGAGGGAGAAAGUGGGGGAUCUUCGGACCUCACGCUAUCAGAUGAGCCUAGGUCGGAUUAGCUAGUUGGUGGGGUAAAGGCCUACCAAGGCGACGAUGCGUAACUGGUCUGAGAGGAUGAUCAGUCACACUGGAACUGAGACACGGUCCAGACUCCUACGGGAGGCAGCAGUGGGGAAUAUUGGACAAUGGGCGAAAGCCUGAUCCAGCCAUGCCGCGUGUGUGAAGAAGGUCUUCGGAUUGUAAAGCACUUUAAGUAGGGAGGAAGGGAAGUAAGUUAAUACCUUGCUGUUUUGACGUUACCAACAGAAUAAGCCCCGGCUAACUUCGUG
RNAcentral lists this ribosomal RNA (484 nucleotides) under uncultured bacterium. RNAcentral's name for it is "partial 16S ribosomal RNA". It matches the Rfam family "Bacterial small subunit ribosomal RNA", at positions 30 to 507 of the family's 1533-position model. The record is from RNAcentral.